Molecule: ribosomal RNA, 482 nt
Filed under: uncultured bacterium
Lineage: Bacteria
Description: partial 16S ribosomal RNA
Rfam family: Bacterial small subunit ribosomal RNA
Source: RNAcentral
AUUGAACGCUGGCGGCAUGCUUUACACAUGCAAGUCGAACGGCAGCGCGGGCUUCGGCCUGGCGGCGAGUGGCGAACGGGUGAGUAAUACAUCGGAACGUGCCCAGUAGUGGGGGAUAGCUCGGCGAAAGCCGGAUUAAUACCGCAUACGACCUGAGGGUGAAAGCGGGGGAUCUUCGGACCUCGCGCUAUUGGAGCGGCCGAUGGCAGAUUAGCUAGUUGGUGGGGUAAAGGCCUACCAAGGCGACGAUCUGUAGCUGGUCUGAGAGGACGACCAGCCACACUGGGACUGAGACACGGCCCAGACUCCUACGGGAGGCAGCAGUGGGGAAUUUUGGACAAUGGGCGAAAGCCUGAUCCAGCAAUGCCGCGUGUGUGAUGAAGGCCUUCGGGUUGGAAAGCACUUUUGGCGGGAACGAAAAGGACUGUGCCAAUACCACGGUUCGAUGACGGUACCCGCAGAAUAAGCACCGGCUAACUACG